CUACGGGUUGCACCAGCAGGGAAUAUUGCACAAUGGACGGAAGUCUGAUGCAGCGACGCCGCGUGGAUGAUGAAGGCCUUCGGGUUGUAAAAUCCUUUUCAGGGAGAAGAGGAAGGACGGUAUCCCUGGAAUAAGCGUCGGCUAACUACGUGCCAGCAGCCGCGGUAAUACGUAGGACGCAAGCGUUAUCCGGAUUUACUGGGCGUAAAGCGUCUGUAGGCGGUUUAGUAAGUUUGAUGUGAAAGCUCCAGGCUCAACUUGGAGAGUGCAUUGAAUACUGCUAGACUUGAGGGGAUCAGAGGAAAGCGGAAUUUCCGGUGUAGCGGUAAAAUGCGCAGAUAUCGGAAAGAACACCAGUGGCGAAGGCGGCUUUCUGGGAUCAACCUGACGCUGAGAGACGAAAGCUAGGGUAGCGAACAGGAUUAGAUACCCUGGUAGUC
RNAcentral lists this ribosomal RNA (440 nucleotides) under uncultured bacterium. RNAcentral's name for it is "partial 16S ribosomal RNA". It matches the Rfam family "Bacterial small subunit ribosomal RNA", at positions 339 to 795 of the family's 1533-position model. The record is from RNAcentral.